This is a long non-coding RNA of Macrobrachium nipponense, 737 nucleotides long. RefSeq lists it as uncharacterized. The record is from RefSeq and is a predicted model, not a curated record. NCBI's taxonomy places the organism in Eukaryota, Metazoa, Arthropoda, Malacostraca, Decapoda, Palaemonidae. The transcript has 3 exons.
AUGAUCAAGUAAUGAUGUAGACUGCGCGUGCUCGGUUUACAGUUUUUCAUAAUGGCGUUGAUUGUGCCCAGUGAUUCUAACUAAAAAAGUUAAGUUUGUGGUGAAGGUUUGAACGUGAACGGAAUUAAUUUUUUUUGUAUAGUUUAUGGCUGCAAAUAAUUGAAAAAGAAAUUUAAGUUCGAAUGUCCAUGUCUGGGAGAUUAACCAGGAAUCGGCUAUUAGUAAGGAUUAGUGGUUUUUUUUAAUCAUCCAGAUGCUGAAUAUUUCACGAUCUGCUUCCUGAAUUAUAUUUUAAGAUUGUUCAACUGCAUUGGGAACGGAAAAUUCAAGAGAAUUGAACACCACAAGUUAAUCAGAUGGUGAAUGGAUAAAAAAGCAGCGCUGAAAGAGGGCGAGGUCAUGGCGAGACGGCUCCGUUGAGUUCUGGCCUCCCUGUUGCCUCUGCUGCAACACUUGGCCCCUCCCACCCUCUCCCUCCCCUCUUUCUCUCUCUCUCUCCCUCCCUCUCUCUCUCCUCUCCCCCUCUCCCUCUACCUUCUUCCUCCUCCUUUCCCCACCUUACAUCCUCCACCACCACCACCCCCACCAGCAGGAGGAGGAGGAGGAGGAGGUAAACACAAAAAUUAACGAAGAUAAGAAUACGAGGAAAGACGUCGUCUCCUUGAAUCCGUAAAGAGGCUCCUUACUUCCUUCCUUCCUUCCUUCCUUCCUUCCUUAUCCACCCCAUAACCCUCCCC